AACUCAUGAUUUAGGCAUUGGGCUAGAUUUCCAUUAAACCUCUCCCCUGCUUCAAAUAAUGGUUCCCAAUUCAAUUGUAAAAAUUUUAAAGUCUCAUCCCUCUUUUGAAGCA
Molecule: non-coding RNA, 112 nt
Organism: Capsicum annuum
Lineage: Eukaryota; Viridiplantae; Streptophyta; Magnoliopsida; Solanales; Solanaceae
Source: Rfam